This 497-nucleotide ribosomal RNA is filed under the name uncultured bacterium. RNAcentral's name for it is "partial 16S ribosomal RNA". It matches the Rfam family "Bacterial small subunit ribosomal RNA", at positions 28 to 507 of the family's 1533-position model. The record is from RNAcentral.
GAUGAACGCUGGCGGCGUGCCUAAUACAUGCAAGUCGAGCGAACAGAUAAGGAGCUUGCUCCUUUGACGUUAGCGGCGGACGGGUGAGUAACACGUGGGUAACCUACCUAUAAGACUGGGAUAACUUCGGGAAACCGGAGCUAAUACCGGAUAACAUUUGGAACCGCAUGGUUCUAAAGUGAAAGAUGGUUUUGCUAUCACUUAUAGAUGGACCCGCGCCGUAUUAGCUAGUUGGUAAGGUAACGGCUUACCAAGGCGACGAUACGUAGCCGACCUGAGAGGGUGAUCGGCCACACGGGAACUGGGACACGGUCCAGACUCCUACGGGAGGCAGCAGUAGGGAAUCUUCCGCAAUGGGCGAAAGCCUGACGGAGCAACGCCACGUGAGAGAUGAAGGGGUUCGGCUCGUAAAACUCUGUUAUUAGGGAAAAACAAAUGUGUAAGUAACUGUGCACGUCUUGACGGUACCUAAUCAGAAAGCCACGGCUAACUACGUG